This 425-nucleotide ribosomal RNA is filed under the name uncultured rumen bacterium. RNAcentral's name for it is "bacterial SSU rRNA". It matches the Rfam family "Bacterial small subunit ribosomal RNA", at positions 354 to 776 of the family's 1533-position model. The record is from RNAcentral.
GUGGGGAAUAUUGGUCAAUGGGCGCAAGCCUGAACCAGCCAUGCCGCGUGAAGGAAUGAGGCCCUAUGGGUCGUAAACUUCUUUUGUGGUGGAGCAAUAAGGUGCACGUGUGCAUCGAUGAGAGUACAUCACGAAUAAGCAUCGGCUAACUCCGUGCCAGCAGCCGCGGUAAUACGGAGGAUGCAAGCGUUAUCCGGAUUUAUUGGGUUUAAAGGGUGCGUAGGCUGUUCGACAAGUCAGGGGUGAAAGCCCGGCGCCUAACGCCGGAACUGCCUUUGAUACUGCCGAGCUGGAAUACGGAUGCCGUGGGAGGAAUGAGUAGUGUAGCGGUGAAAUGCAUAGAUAUUACUCAGAACACCGAUUGCGAAGGCAUCUCACGAAUCCGUCAUUGACGCUGAGGCACGAAAGCGUGGGGAUCAAACAGG